Molecule: ribosomal RNA, 2921 nt
Filed under: Klebsiella pneumoniae
Lineage: Bacteria; Pseudomonadati; Pseudomonadota; Gammaproteobacteria; Enterobacterales; Enterobacteriaceae
Description: 23S ribosomal RNA
Rfam family: Bacterial large subunit ribosomal RNA
Source: RNAcentral
GGGUUGUGAGGUUAAGCGACUAAGCGUACACGGUGGAUGCCCUGGCAGUCAGAGGCGAUGAAGGACGUGCUAAUCUGCGAAAAGCGUCGGUAAGGUGAUAUGAACCGUUAUAACCGGCGAUGUCCGAAUGGGGAAACCCAGUGCAAUUCGUUGCACUAUCGUUAACUGAAUACAUAGGUUAACGAGGCGAACCGGGGGAACUGAAACAUCUAAGUACCCCGAGGAAAAGAAAUCAACCGAGAUUCCCCCAGUAGCGGCGAGCGAACGGGGAGCAGCCCAGAGUCUGAAUCAGCUUGUGUGUUAGUGGAACGGUCUGGAAAGUCCGACGGUACAGGGUGAUAGUCCCGUACACCAAAAUGCACAGGCUGUGAACUCGAAGAGUAGGGCGGGACACGUGGUAUCCUGUCUGAAUAUGGGGGGACCAUCCUCCAAGGCUAAAUACUCCUGACUGACCGAUAGUGAACCAGUACCGUGAGGGAAAGGCGAAAAGAACCCCGGCGAGGGGAGUGAAAAAGAACCUGAAACCGUGUACGUACAAGCAGUGGGAGCACCUUCGGGUGUGACUGCGUACCUUUUGUAUAAUGGGUCAGCGACUUAUAUUCUGUAGCAAGGUUAACCGUAUAGGGGAGCCGCAGGGAAACCGAGUCUUAACUGGGCGUUAAGUUGCAGGGUAUAGACCCGAAACCCGGUGAUCUAGCCAUGGGCAGGUUGAAGGUUGGGUAACACUAACUGGAGGACCGAACCGACUAAUGUUGAAAAAUUAGCGGAUGACUUGUGGCUGGGGGUGAAAGGCCAAUCAAACCGGGAGAUAGCUGGUUCUCCCCGAAAGCUAUUUAGGUAGCGCCUCGUGAACUCAUCUUCGGGGGUAGAGCACUGUUUCGGCUAGGGGGUCAUCCCGACUUACCAACCCGAUGCAAACUACGAAUACCGAAGAAUGUUAUCACGGGAGACACACGGCGGGUGCUAACGUCCGUCGUGAAGAGGGAAACAACCCAGACCGCCAGCUAAGGUCCCAAAGUCAUGGUUAAGUGGGAAACGAUGUGGGAAGGCACAGACAGCCAGGAUGUUGGCUUAGAAGCAGCCAUCAUUUAAAGAAAGCGUAAUAGCUCACUGGUCGAGUCGGCCUGCGCGGAAGAUGUAACGGGGCUAAACCAUGCACCGAAGCUGCGGCAGCGACACUAUGUGUUGUUGGGUAGGGGAGCGUUCUGUAAGCCUGCGAAGGUGUGCUGUGAGGCAUGCUGGAGGUAUCAGAAGUGCGAAUGCUGACAUAAGUAACGAUAAAGCGGGUGAAAAGCCCGCUCGCCGGAAGACCAAGGGUUCCUGUCCAACGUUAAUCGGGGCAGGGUGAGUCGACCCCUAAGGCGAGGCCGAAAGGCGUAGUCGAUGGGAAACAGGUUAAUAUUCCUGUACUUGGUGUUACUGCGAAGGGGGGACGGAGAAGGCUAUGUUAGCCGGGCGACGGUUGUCCCGGUUUAAGCAUGUAGGCUGGUUGUCCAGGCAAAUCCGGAUAAUCAAGGCUGAGGUGUGAUGACGAGGCACUACGGUGCUGAAGUAACAAAUGCCCUGCUUCCAGGAAAAGCCUCUAAGCAUCAGGUAACAUCAAAUCGUACCCCAAACCGACACAGGUGGUCAGGUAGAGAAUACCAAGGCGCUUGAGAGAACUCGGGUGAAGGAACUAGGCAAAAUGGUGCCGUAACUUCGGGAGAAGGCACGCUGGUGUGUAGGUGAAGCCCCUGCGGGUGGAGCUGAGACCAGUCGAAGAUACCAGCUGGCUGCAACUGUUUAUUAAAAACACAGCACUGUGCAAACACGAAAGUGGACGUAUACGGUGUGACGCCUGCCCGGUGCCGGAAGGUUAAUUGAUGGGGUUAUCCGUAAGGAGAAGCUCUUGAUCGAAGCCCCGGUAAACGGCGGCCGUAACUAUAACGGUCCUAAGGUAGCGAAAUUCCUUGUCGGGUAAGUUCCGACCUGCACGAAUGGCGUAAUGAUGGCCAGGCUGUCUCCACCCGAGACUCAGUGAAAUUGAACUCGCUGUGAAGAUGCAGUGUACCCGCGGCAAGACGGAAAGACCCCGUGAACCUUUACUAUAGCUUGACACUGAACAUUGAGCCUUGAUGUGUAGGAUAGGUGGGAGGCUUUGAAGCGUGGACGCCAGUCUGCGUGGAGCCAACCUUGAAAUACCACCCUUUAAUGUUUGAUGUUCUAACGUUGGCCCCUUACCGGGGUUGCGGACAGUGUCUGGUGGGUAGUUUGACUGGGGCGGUCUCCUCCCAAAGCGUAACGGAGGAGCACGAAGGUUAGCUAAUCCUGGUCGGACAUCAGGAGGUUAGUGCAAUGGCAUAAGCUAGCUUGACUGCGAGCGUGACGGCGCGAGCAGGUGCGAAAGCAGGUCAUAGUGAUCCGGUGGUUCUGAAUGGAAGGGCCAUCGCUCAACGGAUAAAAGGUACUCCGGGGAUAACAGGCUGAUACCGCCCAAGAGUUCAUAUCGACGGCGGUGUUUGGCACCUCGAUGUCGGCUCAUCACAUCCCCGGGCUGAAGUAGGUCCCAAAGGGUAUGGCUGUUCGCCAUUUAAAGUGGUACGCGAGCUGGGUUUAGAACGUCGUGAGACAGUUCGGUCCCUAUCUGCCGUGGGCGCUGGAGAAUUGAGGGGCUGCUCCAGUACGAGAGGACCGGAGUGGACGCAUCACUGGUGUUCGGGUUGUCAUGCCAAUGGCACUGCCCGGUAGCUAAAUGCGGAAGAGAUAAGUGCUGAAAGCAUCUAAGCACGAAACUUGCCCCGAGAUGAGUUCUCCCUGAGACUUUAAGUCUCCUGAAGGAACGUUGAAGACGACGACGUUGAUAGGCCGGGUGUGUAAGCGCAGCGAUGCGUUGAGCUAACCGGUACUAAUGAACCGUGAGGCUUAACCUUACAACGCCGAAG